AAAACUAUACAUGAUUAGUCAUUGGUCAGAAUGAAAAUGUCAAAAUUAUUCUCAUGACCAUACAAGAUACAUGCCCAAGGAUCUAUAACUCCCUCACUGCUUAUCAUCCUUACAUUAUAUUUGGGCUGCAUUUUGGAAAAUGAGAAUUACACACAUCCAAGAUCAAUCCAAGAUACUUAUGCUAUGUUUACCAUGCCCUGUGGGUGAGAAAGAAAUGGAAAUUUGAACUGACUUGCUAUGUGAGACAAUCUGGCAGGUGGUGGAGUUCUGCAACUUGGCCAGAAGUGAGGCACCCAGUCCCCAGGGUAAAUGUUUUGGCAGGAUGAUGAAUGCCAGGCAGGGCACGCAUGUACAGGAGUCAGGUGGUGUCAUUUAUGUCCAUCCACAAGUGACUGUUUAGCAUGGGUAACAAGAAACUAAUUUCACUUUGGUCAGGUGAGGGUGGACUUAAUUCUAAAACUGGAGAGAGGCACACAUGAAGACUUCUGAACACCAUCACAGCAUCAUAGUGCUCUGCCCUCAUGCAGUCCAAGCUCUGAAAAGGCUGUCUACUACUUUCUUCAAAGGAAUCUGUCAAUGAGAGCCAUACAAGCAGAAAAAUUCAAAGGCACACAUCCUUUAACUUUUCCUGCCAUGUUUGUGAUGAAGGAGGAACAGCUUGAGACAGAAGCAAACAAUCUGACAAUGCCUUGGUUUAUCUCCAGCCUGGAAGGAACUGAGUUACUGGGCUAAUGAGUUCACAAGUCUGCCAAGACAUGUUGCCCUUGGUAAAGAGGUUUCAGUAAUCCCACAGAUGCAGGUGGAGGGAUGUUUUAGAAGAAAACUUGUUGGUAUUCUUUAAAGAAAAAAGAAGGAAAAAUGGCUGAUAUUGCCCUCUGGAAUAGUUUGAGGCUUUCCCCAAACACGUGAAUAAUACUUACUCUAUCUCAAAUAAGAAGAUGGUACUACACUUAAUAUUCUUGUCAUUUACAACUUUGCUGUGCAAUAAAGCUCCAUAGGCACCCCCAAGUAUUUGGU
Motacilla alba alba is the source of this 1017-nucleotide long non-coding RNA. RefSeq lists it as uncharacterized. NCBI's taxonomy places the organism in Eukaryota, Metazoa, Chordata, Aves, Passeriformes, Motacillidae. The transcript is spliced from 4 exons. The record is from RefSeq and is a predicted model, not a curated record.